GGGGAAAGAUCAAGUCGCAGCCGGCUUGGGUUGGUGUUGGGGCCGGUCGUGCGGGACGCUGAGGCUGUGAGGGCUUUCCCCGCUGCUUCCAGCUGACUCCAGUGUGAAGUGAGGUGCUUCCAACGGACUGCAGUGUGAAGUGAGCCAUCCUGCCUGAAACUCAAGAAAUAUAGAAUCCCUGGGAAUGUAAUGGGAUCUUCCCGACCCAGGAGUCGAACCCGGGUCUCCCGCCUUGUAGGCAGACACUUUACCCACUGAGCCACCAGGGAAGCCCCCUAAUAAUUAAUAGUGAAGGAA
This is a long non-coding RNA of Budorcas taxicolor (takin), 297 nucleotides long. RefSeq lists it as uncharacterized. The record is from RefSeq and is a predicted model, not a curated record. Lineage: Eukaryota; Metazoa; Chordata; Mammalia; Artiodactyla; Bovidae. The transcript has 3 exons.